RNAcentral lists this ribosomal RNA (253 nucleotides) under uncultured bacterium. Its description in RNAcentral is "partial 16S ribosomal RNA". It matches the Rfam family "Bacterial small subunit ribosomal RNA", at positions 524 to 776 of the family's 1533-position model. The record is from RNAcentral.
UACGUAGGUGGCAAGCGUUGUCCGGAUUUACUGGGCGUAAAGGGCGUGCAGGCGGUCUGUUUAGUCUAGGGUGAAAGCUCCCGGCUCAACUGGGAGAGGUCCUUGGAUACUGGCAGACUUGAGGGAGGUAGAGGAGACUGGAAUUCCCGGUGUAGCAGUGAAAUGCGUAGAUAUCGGGAGGAAUACCGAUGGCGAAGGCAGGUCUCUGGGCUGACACUGACGCUCAUGCACGAAAGCGUGGGGAGCAAACAGG